This is a non-coding RNA of Caenorhabditis elegans, 90 nucleotides long. NCBI's taxonomy places the organism in Eukaryota, Metazoa, Nematoda, Chromadorea, Rhabditida, Rhabditidae. The record is from Ensembl.
CUGCGGUAAGCGGAUGAGCAACUUUGCAACAAAUCGUUUGAUUGACACCAUUCAGCUGCUCGUCAUAUUAUUGAACUAAGUGACUCCUCA